UACAACCACCCAGCCAAACUACGGGCGUCCGGGCAAUCCAAGAGUCUGCCUCCCAAUUGGGUAAAGCCCAGAAGCCACGCCCAACAAGGGGCACGCUGAUUGGCGAUGGGCAGACCAAUGAGAAGGCAUGGAACAAUGAGAAGGCAGGACGCAGGCAUUGAGGGAGCCCGGAAGCCAGGCGGUGUCAGUGACAUCUCGUGAGCAGACUGUGGUGAGGGUGGCGGUGUCCCAAAGGCCUUGCUGUUCCUGUGGCCCCAGAGCACCACCCUUCCCUGCUGUAUCAAUUCGCUCUCAGGCUCAAAGCUGAGAGUGGCCCCCUCGGCUGGGCUUGGCUGGGCUCGGCUCUCCUCUCCCACUGUUACCAGGACGACUGUCUCCCCACAGCCUGGCUGUCUAGACUGGCGGGCGCCAUGAGCUCCACGGAUGAAGUGUCCGUUUGCAGGGCUGGUUUAGGCCCAGAGGGUGGCGAGCAGGCCGGCGCCCACACCGCCAGCCCGGGAGCCCCACGGGGUGACGGCCACGGCCGAGACCUCAAUUUGGGGGGGCAGCACAGUGGCAAGGGCAAGGGCAAGGGCGAGAGCGGGUUCACAGAUCCCGAGAGCUUCAGCUUCGAGCCUGAGAGUGAAUUGAUAGAGCAGGGAAGGGUGGUGCUCUGGGGCCAGGAAGGCCGGCCUGGCACCCCGGUCGACGACCAAGCGGGUGGUGUGGACUACUCUUUCUACCUGGCUGAUGAGCCAGCCACCAUCAUGCCGCCAUCCAGCGUCCAGGGACACCCGUCCCCAGAAGGCGCCACUGCCAAAGGGUCCACUGACAUCUGGGCGGACCUGGAGGUCGGUCCCAGUUGGAGAGGUGCGCUGAGCCCCAGCCCUGGAGAAUGGCAGCAGGCCUCUGCCCGCCCUCUCCACCUCAGUGUUCCUGGGCCAGGACCGGCCUGGGAGAACCCAGAAAGGGGCUCGAAGAGCAGAUUGAGCGUCCAAGUGGAUCCCCAGCAGCCCUCCGCGGAAGGCCCCGCCAGGCUGAAUACUGACGACUCUGAUUCCGCAGAUGAGAGCAGCGACUUACCGGUGAUUAGGGUGAUCAUUAGCACCAAAGAAGGAAGCCAGGCCAAGCCCGGAAGCCCCAAGAAGCCAGGAGACACUUGCAGACGCCCCAGUUUCCACCGCAGGGAGAGUUACCUUCAGGUUCAGGGACCUCUCCUGACCUCUCCUCCCCGCAGACUCACCCCAGUCGUGGAGAGGCCGGCUGUGGGAGAGCUGGACGUGCCUUCCUUGAAGAAAAUGCAGAGCAUGGUGUGGGGAAAGAGGGGGGUCAGGCCCAGCUGCUCAGGAGCUGCCGUUAGAGGGCCCCUACCCCGGGGCACUCUGGGAAGGAAGGUGGCCCAGGAGAAGAAAUCCCUAGAGGGUGCACCAGAACUGGCCCUGCGGGGAGCCUUUCCUGCCUGGGGGCAGAGACUUUCAGCAGUUCCACCUGAUCCGGCUAGCUUCCCACCAGUGUCUGGCGUGGGGCUCCUGGGGAAGUCCGUGAGACCCAAGGAGCCCAAGCACAGCAGCCCUGGGAAGAAACCUGCAGGAAGGAAGACCAGGGAGUCCCAGGCUGCGGCCAGAGAAGAUAAUGACCCAAAUAGAGAUGAGGUCCCAAGGGCCCAACUUCCCACACAGAAGCCAGAGCUGAUUUCUCUGUCCAUGCGUCGUGGAGAAUACAGCAGUGGUGAUCCCAACAUCAGAGCUCCCCAAGUACUAGGAACCUCACAGCCCUCGGCCUUUACCUUGAGACGCCUGGUGCCCAGAUGCCAUGCACCCUCCGGUGACUGGCAGCCACCUGUCCAUCCCCCAAGACCGGAAAGGCAGCAGCAGCCCCCGGGAGCCCAGGGCUGUCCUCGGUGCAUCUUGCUGCAGAGGGAAAUUGAAGACCUUAGAGACCAACUAGGUAUGAUGGAGCACUGGCUGGGGCAGGGAUGGACAGUGGUGUCGUUCUGCAGGUGCCGGUGGUGGGGGUGGACUGCAGGUAUAGGUGCUGUCACUGGGACUGACUUCCUCUGGGGAAGAGAACCAAGCAGGCCUGGCCCUGGAGCCUUCUGUGCCUUUUCAGCUAGGGGUGUGCACAGACAGCAAUGUGUCGUCUGAACUCCGUGUACACUUUGUCUACAAGUCCCAGAGAUCUUCUCUUAGGACGGUUAGAGAUACCUUAUGUGUUUUCCUUUAACUGCUGCCUGGUACUGCUUGUAUGGUGUUUGCUUGCUGGCUGGCUUAUCUGUCUUUGAAACAUGUUCUGAAUGGUUCUGGGAUGGCCCAACACCUGAGAACCACUUUCCCGCUUAGAAGGCAUUUCCACAUUUAAUUCAGGUGACGGGUGGAUGAGUCAGUCCCAGGGCUGGUGGGGUUUCUGGUUGCAGGGCUAGGUUGUUCCCCACGGGGGCAGGGCGUGGGUUUCUGUUUCCCUGGGUCUGGAGUGCCCAGUUCUGUCUCUCUGUUUCAGCGGCCAUGCAGUUCCUCACUGACAAGUUCCAGGACUUGUGAAGUUGGAGCCAGCAUCUUCCUACAAGAUGAGCAGCUGCUACCUUUGGAGCUCCGGAGCUGCAGCUAAGCGGGUUCCCUCCAUAUCCUGUUCAGCCAGGGCUUCCUCUCUUCCGCUGCAUUUGCCCCCUUCCCAACACAGUUCAAAGCAGUGUGAAAUAAAGUUGUUCUCAUAUUC
RNA transcript from Pan troglodytes (chimpanzee), 2691 nucleotides. RefSeq lists it as uncharacterized. The transcript has 5 exons. NCBI's taxonomy places the organism in Eukaryota, Metazoa, Chordata, Mammalia, Primates, Hominidae. The record is from RefSeq and is a predicted model, not a curated record.